GCCCAACCAAGCUUGAACUGGAGCAAGCUUUCCAUCAGGGAAAAUACUUUGCCAUAAUUGCAAAGAAGCUCAAGGGAUCUGCCUGAUCUGCUUGUAUACCUCCACACAGUCAUUUGCCAUUUUAUAUACCUCAGUUCAAUCUUUCUUUUGUCAUUUUCCAUUGGGUCAAAAUAACUGUGGGCUUUGUUUAAUUUUUUUAGCCAGUGGCUUUGAUAUAUAUCUUCUGUCG
This 229-nucleotide long non-coding RNA is filed under the name Elaeis guineensis (African oil palm). Its description in RNAcentral is "long non-coding RNA (EGUI_LNC001178)". The record is from RNAcentral. Lineage: Eukaryota; Viridiplantae; Streptophyta; Magnoliopsida; Arecales; Arecaceae.